Molecule: long non-coding RNA, 1175 nt
Filed under: Calidris pugnax (ruff)
Lineage: Eukaryota; Metazoa; Chordata; Aves; Charadriiformes; Scolopacidae
Description: lncRNA (ENSCPUG00000001145.1)
Source: RNAcentral
CUACGGGUUGUUUUUUUGGGGGGGGGGGAAAAAGUGUUAAUUUGCUUUUUCUUGGUCAAAAAUUCAAAUUUUUUAAUUUUUUUUUUCUUUUUUUGGGGGGGGUUAUUUAUUAAUUUGUUUGGGUUUUUAUGUAUUUUUGUAUUUUUGCCCCAGAUUUUGGGCAGGGGAUGGGUUUGAGCGAGCGCCGAAUUUUUGGUGGGGGGAGUUUAUUUCCUUUUUCUUGCUCAAUAAUUCAAAUUUUUAAAAAUUAUUAUUUUUGGGGGGGGUUAUUUAUUAAUUUGUUUGGGUUUUUAUGUAUUUUUGUAUUUUUGCCCCAGAUUUUGGGCAGGGGAUGGGUUUGAGCGAGCGCCGAAUUUUUGGUGGGGGGAGUUUAUUUCCUUUUUCUUGCUCAAUAAUUCAAAUUUUUAAAAAUUAUUAUUUUUUGGGGGGGUAUUUAUUAAUUUGUUUGGGUUUUUAUGUAUUUUUGUAUUUUUUGCCCCAGAUUUUGGGCAGAUUUUUGGACAAGUUCGAGCGAGCGCUGAAUUUUUGGUGGGGGGAGUUUAUUUCCUUCUUCUUGCUCAAUAAUUCAAUUUUUAAAUUUUUUUUUUAUUUUUGGGGGGGUUAUUUAUUAAUUUGUUUGUUUAUGCAUUUAUUUAUUAAUUUAUUUAUGUAUUUAUUUAUUUUUUGGGGGGGUGGAGCCCCCAGAUUUUGGGCAGGAGUUGGACACUUUGGGCAAGCACCAAAUUUUGGGGGUUUAUUUCCUUCCCCUCACUCAAUAAUUCAAUUUUUAAUUUUUUUUUUUUAUUUUUUUUGGGGGGGUUAUUUAUUAAUUUAUUCGUUUAUGUAUUUAUUUAUUAAUUUGUUUAUGUAUUUAUUUAAUUUUGGGGGGGGUGGAGCCCCCAGAUUUUGAGGAGGGAGGGGGUGAUUCAGGCAGCGCCCAAACUCCGUCGGGAUGAAAUUUUGGGGCUGGAUUUUGGUAAUUUUUUUGGGGAGAAAAGCCCCCAAAUUGGGGGUCAUGAUUUGAGGGGGGGGACACAAAAUUGAAGCUCCACCGGGAUGAAAUUUGGGGGGAAAAGACCCUAAAAAAGCCCCCCCCCCCCAANNNNNNNNNNNNNNNNNNNNNNNNNNNNNNNNNCAUCGGUUUUGGAAUAUUUUUGCCUUUUUUUUUGACAUUUUUGCUUGUUUCCGCCUUUUUU